This 253-nucleotide ribosomal RNA is filed under the name uncultured bacterium. RNAcentral's name for it is "partial 16S ribosomal RNA". It matches the Rfam family "Bacterial small subunit ribosomal RNA", at positions 524 to 776 of the family's 1533-position model. The record is from RNAcentral.
UACAGAGGGUGCGAGCGUUAAUCGGAAUUACUGGGCGUAAAGCGUGCGUAGACGGUUAUUUAAGUCGGAUGUGAAAGCCCCGGGCUCAACCUGGGAAUUGCAUUCGAGACUGAAUAGCUAGGGUACGGUAGAGGGAAGUGGAAUUUCCGGUGUAGGGGUGAAAUUCGUAGAUAUUCGGAAGAACACCAGUGGCGAAGGCGGCUCACUGGACCGGUAUUGACGCUGAGGUGCGAAAGCGUGGGGAGCAAACAGG